RNAcentral lists this long non-coding RNA (1133 nucleotides) under Prunus dulcis (almond). RNAcentral's name for it is "sRNA ncRNA". Lineage: Eukaryota; Viridiplantae; Streptophyta; Magnoliopsida; Rosales; Rosaceae. The record is from RNAcentral.
AAGAGAAAGAGGGAGAAAGAGAAAGAGAAAAUAAUAAUAAAACAUUUCAAAUUAGCCAAGAUAGAGAACAUUACUGGAGGAAACACCUUUUAAGUAGUUUGCUAUAAUAGCUUUCUAGCUAUUUUAGCUAGAAUUUGGCUAAAAUUUGGAGGCUCUCCUAGAGAUGCUCUUAGAAACAACUAGCAGCAACAGCCACCUAAUAUGCCGCCGCCGCCGCCAUAAGAAGAAGAAGGUUCAGGGGAACCAACAAAGGGGAUAUGUAAAGCGUGGGAUUUGGGAAGCAAGCCACCAACAUGCAUGAUGCUCAAACGAUCCAGGAUCAGGUAUUAGUCCAAAUGGACCAUUAAACUACAAAGCCCACACCUCCAUAACAUGAUCUCAGAUAUGAAGAUGAGUUGUAGGGGAGAAGCAGCUGCAACAAACAAGUAGCCAACCAAGAAAAUUCUAGGGAAAUAGGAGGAUCUUAGGAUUUUAGGAUUCUGUGCACAUAGCAGGUUGGAUGUCUGUCCAACCCAAAUUUUUUCUUAAAAAUAAUACCUGCAUAUGUUAUAAGUCGAGUCCAAAAUUAAAAGCAAACUGUAUAUCAUAUCUUCUCUACCCAUUAAGGUGGUCCUAUAUCUUUUCUCUCUUUUUCUUUUGGUUAUGUGACAUUAGCUUGUUUCUCUAUCUUUUAGCUACCUGACAUCAGCAUCUUUUUUCUCCCUCUAUUUUCUAUAUAACUUUAAGUACAGUUUUAAUUAAAAUUGAGUAUUCUAUGGUUUAAUUAGGGAUGAAUGAGAGUUUUCUAAUAAUAUCGAUAAUGCAUUGAUAAUUUAAGAAUUUAUGAGUUCUAAGCAUCGAUAGUUUUGUUUUAUUUUAUUUUGCAUUGCAUUUACUUUUGAUUUUAGUUUUUAGUUUUUGCAUUUGUGGAACUUUUAUUUAUGGAUAGAGAUGCAUUUGAACUGUAAGCCUCAUUACGUCCUCCUUGCCUAGGUGUAUCUUUUUAUGUUUAUUACUGAAAUUCACUCGUACUGUCAAAUUUAGCAUAUAAGUUUUGCCCAACUGGCUUUCGAAUGUUGGAACCUCCAUAAUUGUCAUCUUACGUAGACAUAGAUAUGUACUAUGAAAGUUAAUGACUAUUUGGUAUAGUGGCA